GGGCAACAGUUUCUGAACAUGUGCCUUAUAUCAUACAGAACAAACCUUUUUGAUACACAGCCAAUUUACAUUGAUGGCAUAUUUAUAGUGAUGACAUAAUAUUAGAACUUGGAAGGGAGUACUUACUUAACCUGGAGACUCACAAAAGUGACAGAAUAUACACUAAAACUACCAGAUUACAAGACAUUGCAACUGGUUGUUCAGGGAAAGAAGCAACUUCAUGCCAAAUUCUUUUAUGAAGGGGGCAAAGGAAACUCAACAAACACACUUGGCACGACGACCACUAGCUACAAA
Molecule: unclassified non-coding RNA, 294 nt
Filed under: Hevea brasiliensis (rubber tree)
Lineage: Eukaryota; Viridiplantae; Streptophyta; Magnoliopsida; Malpighiales; Euphorbiaceae
Source: RNAcentral